UGAUGAGGCUGGGAGCAACCAUUGAGGGGAAUACUUGUUUUGGGAAGGCUAUCCACGGCGCUGCCUUUUUAGGAAGUCUUGGGGCUAUUAAAGCUAUUCACCAGGAUUUCCCCAAUGAGGUAAACAUUGCUAGUGCUGGAAAUUUCACGCCACUUAUUUGUUCCCUGUUCGGCACUUCAGUUGACUGUCAGAACUUUCUUGCAGGGGUAUCUGAUGUGGGUACUCUUCCCUUGUUCACCAAAGUGGCAUUGGUUAAAACCAAUGAGGCUGAAGCUCAUG
Long non-coding RNA from Triticum dicoccoides, 279 nucleotides. RefSeq lists it as uncharacterized. The transcript has 3 exons. NCBI's taxonomy places the organism in Eukaryota, Viridiplantae, Streptophyta, Magnoliopsida, Poales, Poaceae. The record is from RefSeq and is a predicted model, not a curated record.